Bos taurus (domestic cattle) is the source of this 72-nucleotide non-coding RNA. The record is from Rfam. Lineage: Eukaryota; Metazoa; Chordata; Mammalia; Artiodactyla; Bovidae.
UCCCUGAUAGCUCAGUUGGUAAAGAAUCUGCCUGCAAUGCAGGAGACCCUGGUUUGCUUCCUGGGUUGGGAA